Molecule: ribosomal RNA, 426 nt
Filed under: uncultured bacterium
Lineage: Bacteria
Description: bacterial SSU rRNA
Rfam family: Bacterial small subunit ribosomal RNA
Source: RNAcentral
GAAUUGUUCGCAAUGGGCGCAAGCCUGACGACGCAACGCCGCGUGGAGGAUGAAGAUUUUCGGAUCGUAAACUCCUUUCGAUCGGGACGAAUGGCUAGUGGUCUAAUACACCAUUAGAUUGACGGUACCGAGAGAAGAAGCCCCGGCUAACUCCGUGCCAGCCGCCGCGGUAAUACGGGGGGGGCAAGCGUUGUUCGGAAUUACUGGGCGUAAAGGGCGCGUAGGCGGCCUGCUAAGUCACACGUGAAAUCCCUCGGCUCAACCGGGGAACUGCGUGUGAUACUGGCGGGCUUGAAUUCGGGAGAGGGAUGUGGAAUUCCAGGAGUAGCGGUGAAAUACGUAGAUAUCUGGAGGAACACCGGUGGCGAAGGCGGCAUCCUGGACCGAGAUUGACGCUGAGGCGCGAAAGCUAGGGUAGCAAACGGG